GGGCCUAUGGGGUAGUCUGGAUAUCCUUUCGGCCUUCGGAGCCGAAGACGAGGGUUCGAAUCCCUCUAGGCUCG
Molecule: transfer RNA, 74 nt
Filed under: Thermoplasmata archaeon
Lineage: Archaea; Methanobacteriati; Thermoplasmatota; Thermoplasmata
Description: tRNA-Arg
Rfam family: tRNA
About the family: Transfer RNA (tRNA) molecules are approximately 80 nucleotides in length. Their secondary structure includes four short double-helical elements and three loops (D, anti-codon, and T loops). Further hydrogen bonds mediate the characteristic L-shaped molecular structure. tRNAs have two regions of fundamental functional importance: the anti-codon, which is responsible for specific mRNA codon recognition, and the 3' end, to which the tRNAs corresponding amino acid is attached (by aminoacyl-tRNA synthetases). tRNAs cope with the degeneracy of the genetic code in two manners: having more than one tRNA (with a specific anti-codon) for a particular amino acid; and 'wobble' base-pairing, i.e. permitting non-standard base-pairing at the 3rd anti-codon position.
Source: RNAcentral